GCUUUAAAAAUUUCCCAUACCAUUCCAUCGUUGCCGCGUGAAUCGUACUCGGCGCAUUUUCCGUGUCUCAUCGAGCGUUUGUUCGGUCAAAAGGCGAAGUCGCGGUUCUUAUUUCGCCGAUCGAAACCCGAUCUGGUUUCAGGGAUCGUUAAUUGCAGGUUCUGUUGAAUCUAUUUCGUCGGAGGUUUCGGCGGCGCCGGUGAUGAUCGUGCGUGGUUUUCCUGCGGUGGAUGUUGAUGGUCUCGUGUCGAAAGACGCGAAACAGAGUAAUUAAACGCGCGAUUCGUUGUGUAAUUUAGAAUAUAUUGGUAAAGUCCUUUAGGAGUUUGUAUUAGAUCUGGUUGGUUGAAAGGGGAGUUUAUUUAUAUACACCAAGAAUCCAAGAUAGAUAGUUGUUCUUUUCAUUGUUCUUGUUAAUGGACCUUUGCCAUGUCAGGUGCGCUUGCAUGGCGGGUCCGAAAAGCGUUAAUAAAAUCAUUAUUGUUUUUUGUUUGGGGGAGAGAAGGUUUCGGGGGCUGUUUUUUGUAUUUUGCCCCGAUUCUCUUCUCUCUCCCUCUGGUGUUGUGUUUUCUCCUUUCCCUUUCUCUCUUCUCUGUCCUUUGAGUUUUUCUAUACUCUAGUUCGCGUCGCCCAAGGCUCAACAGCAUGACAAACGAUUGACAACUCGGCAAGGUACAUAGUGCUGAACGCACGCUUUAAUUUAUUUUAAUUUCGUUGUUUAUACUUACCGUAUUCAAUUUUACAAUAUAUAAAUUAACAUGAUGACUCGCAUGUAAUAAGUUUAUAGUCUGGUAAUUAAAGCAAAAGGCAAUCGAUACAAUUUACUUCAUAUUUAGGUAUUUGUUCAUAGUAUAUUUUUAUUUUAUGGUUUUAGUAAACAAAUGGUUUAUUUGCUCGUAUGUAUAUUGUCAUGUUGUUUAAUAUUUUUGUGAUUAGAAUUGAAUUGAAAGUCUUACAAUUAAUUGACUAUACAAUCAAUUUCCUUCAGAAGAGAUCAAUGUAGAUUACUACUAGCUGUAUAAUAUAUAUAAACUAUGACGUGUUUAUUUUCAUGAUUAGGAUUGAAUUCAAAGUUUCGUACAAUUAAAUGACUCGUUCAAUGUUGGUAAUCGGUAUACAAUCUACUUCAAAAGACAUUUGCCUGGCAGUACAGUGCUUUAUGUUCACUAUAAUUUGAUUAAUUAAAAAUUAACUAUUUAUCGUCGUCAUUGAGAAUAGCAAUAAUUUUUAAUAUUGGCUUUGAGUUUUUAACUUGUUCAAUAACUGAAUUAAAGUGGUUUUGGAUCAUCUAAAAAUUUCUAACCUAUGGAUAAUUUACGAUGAAAAAUGUGUAAGUGCUUAGUUUGCCUACUUCAACCAGAUGCAUCUAAUCCCAUGUUCCAAUAUCUUAAGUUGUAAGUUUAUUAUUUAUGUUCAGCGUAUAUUUACUAUAUAUCAGCUUAUAUCCUUAUUGUUUUUAAUCGGAUGUAGGAUUGUGCCUGUAUUAUGAUAACCUUUUAGGGUUGGUUGAUGUUUUGCUGCCAUUUUAAUGUUGCACUUGUACUUGGGUCUUUUGGGGAUACAUGGGAGUUUGAUGUAUCAUGUAAAAAAUUGGCCAUGGGUAGCUUAUGUGGCAAUGAGUACAGAUGGCUGUAAAUAACUGCAUCUAGUGUAGCUUCAAGGUUCCUUGCAGUCUUCUGUUUUGGAUCAUAACCAAAUUUUUUGGUUUAUAACUUUUGUUGAGAUUUUCAGCUUUUAACUUUGGUUUAUAGGUUUUUGGUAAACUUGUUAGUUUUCAUCUAGUUUUGUCAAACUAGGACUUACCUUAAAAUAUAACUAAUUCAAGGAUACGCUGAAUUUUUUAUUUAUUUGGAAAUUAUUUUGUUCUUAUUUUAAAUUAUAGCUAAUUUCGCCAAAUAUACCGUUCUUAAGUUUACAUCUAGCUUUAUAAGCUUAGUUUUGUCUAACUCAAUAUAAUGGAUUCACAAGCUCGAAUUGGAAUGAGCGCCCAACUGCUUUUGCGUUUGGGAGGUUGGUGGUUCGAUUCCACCUGGAUCCGCCUUCACAUUAAAAAUGAAGUUUUGGUCACGGGAAAGUUUAAGAAACCGCGAACCCUAUGGCCAUCUCGUGAGAAGAUACUCAGCAAUUCUGAGCACUGGAUUUAAAGUCUUACAAUCUAGCUCUGCUUCAUUGGUUGAGAAUUGCGAUUCCCUCUCGACAGUGAAGCAGCUAACUGAAGAUUUUCUUUCCUCCCAUCAAGUAUCUUCAAGUUCAAGGCCAGAAAAGAAGGUUUGGUGAGGGCAAAAUCGAAUCAUACAUAUCGAUAUGAAAAAAUAAGAGUAAAUUUUACAGCUUCAUAAAUUGUAUGCUAAUUUGGUUCCAUAUAUGACAUAAGGGCGGCAGAUUUUAAUAUGUAUGAUCGGCGAGAAGUGUAUUCUUUUUCUUCUUUUUGGUUAUCAAUAUCAAUUCGCUGUAGAAUCCGUGAUGUUCUAGUCAAGUUUAUUAAUAUUGUGGGGCCAGUUGGACUAUGGACAUUUUUUUUUUCUUUC
Molecule: long non-coding RNA, 2528 nt
Organism: Glycine soja
Lineage: Eukaryota; Viridiplantae; Streptophyta; Magnoliopsida; Fabales; Fabaceae
Exons: 3
Source: RefSeq, a predicted model, not a curated record